UUGUAAGUGUGCCAGCAGCCGCGGUAAUACGUAGGGGGCAAGCGUUAUCCGGAUUUACUGGGUGUAAAGGGAGCGUAGACGGAGCAGCAAGUCUGAUGUGAAAGGCAGGGGCUCAACCCCUGGACUGCAUUGGAAACUGUUGAUCUUGAGUACCGGAGAGGUAAGCGGAAUUCCUAGUGUAGCGGUGAAAUGCGUAGAUAUUAGGAGGAACACCAGUGGCGAAGGCGGCUUACUGGACGGUAACUGACGUUGAGGCUCGAAAGCGUGGGGAGCAAACAGG
Molecule: ribosomal RNA, 280 nt
Filed under: Blautia glucerasea
Lineage: Bacteria; Bacillati; Bacillota; Clostridia; Lachnospirales; Lachnospiraceae
Description: partial 16S ribosomal RNA
Rfam family: Bacterial small subunit ribosomal RNA
Source: RNAcentral